GACGAACGCUGGCGGCGUGCUUAACACAUGCAAGUCGAACGGAAAGGCCCUGCUUUUGUGGGGUGCUCGAGUGGCGAACGGGUGAGUAACACGUGAGUAACCUGCCCUUGGCUUUGGGAUAACUUCAGGAAACUGGGGCUAAUACCGGAUAGGAGCUCCUGCUGCAUGGUGGGGGUUGGAAAGUUUCGGCGGUUGGGGAUGGACUCGCGGCUUAUCAGCUUGUUGGUGGGGUAGUGGCUUACCAAGGCUUUGACGGGUAGCCGGCCUGAGAGGGUGACCGGCCACAUUGGGACUGAGAUACGGCCCAGACUCCUACGGGAGGCAGCAGUGGGGAAUAUUGCACAAUGGGCGGAAGCCUGAUGCAGCAACGCCGCGUGCGGGAUGACGGCCUUCGGGUUGUAAACCGCUUUCGCCUGUGACGAAGCGUGAGUGACGGUAAUGGAUAAAGAAGCACCGGCUAACUACGUG
Molecule: ribosomal RNA, 468 nt
Filed under: uncultured bacterium
Lineage: Bacteria
Description: partial 16S ribosomal RNA
Rfam family: Bacterial small subunit ribosomal RNA
Source: RNAcentral